UGGGGAAUUUUGGACAAUGGGGGCAACCCUGAUCCAGCAAUGCCGCGUGAGUGAAGAAGGCCUUCGGGUUGUAAAGCUCUUUUGUCAGGGAAGAAACGGUGUUUCCUAAUACGGAAUGCUAAUGACGGUACCUGAAGAAUAGCACCGGCUAACUACGUGC
RNAcentral lists this ribosomal RNA (160 nucleotides) under uncultured bacterium. RNAcentral describes it as "partial 16S ribosomal RNA". It matches the Rfam family "Bacterial small subunit ribosomal RNA", at positions 355 to 508 of the family's 1533-position model. The record is from RNAcentral.